Molecule: long non-coding RNA, 855 nt
Organism: Anguilla anguilla (European eel)
Lineage: Eukaryota; Metazoa; Chordata; Actinopteri; Anguilliformes; Anguillidae
Exons: 3
Source: RefSeq, a predicted model, not a curated record
GCUGUUCAGAGUAUAACACGUCCGAUUUUGACCCUGAAAGUACUGUGAAGAAUGAAGCUGGCUGUUUGCCAAAACACCCGCCGUCUGAGAAGAAUGGAAACGCUUGUGAGCGUGUUUUUCAUGGCUCUUGCUCACAGUUCGCUAGCUCUUUUAUCAUGUGCUAGGAGAACACGUCAUCCUUUCCGGGAAGUGAAGACUCACCCAGGAUUUCGCAUAAUUUUACAAGCUGAGAAAUGGGAAAACGUGUAGGAUCAGGGAAACGGCAGUUUUGUUGUGGACAGGUACGGCUAAUUAAGAGCGAGAGAUCGAUGGUGAUCAUUUACUCUUUCGAUCCGAGUGACACAUCACAUUCCAGUAAAGCGAAGAACAUGACUCAUCCUUGAAACCGAUAAACAUGUAGGCCUACCUCAGGAAUUGUUGUCCAUGAUGUAAUAGACUUUAUGUGCCUUUAUUAUAGCCUAGUCUAGAGUUAGAUAAGUAAGUGUAAACAUUCGUUACCUAUAUUUGCAUUUUUUAUUGCAUUAAUAGCCUAUCGCUUAUGUCUUCAUUUAAUUAACGCAGGGGAAUCACGCCAUAGCAACCUCCCGCCACCAAAUGGACUUUCAUUUCAGGCAUUCAGAUGGCAGCGGGAAAGCCACGGACAGGACUCCCAGGCCUCUCAGGAACUCUGACCUCAUUUCCUUUUUGAAGAGCGCAUCAUGUAGUGUGUUAUUUUGGACGUGUGUGUAAAGUGGUGCUUAAGCAUGGCAGACGCAUACCAACCGGCUCUCUCCUUACAAACGAAGGGCAUGCAACCUAUGAAGAACUAUGCAGCUUGGUGAUGUGUGCAACAAAUAAAUGGGUUUAAAAAGUGGA